Molecule: long non-coding RNA, 2407 nt
Organism: Mauremys mutica (yellowpond turtle)
Lineage: Eukaryota; Metazoa; Chordata; Testudines; Geoemydidae
Exons: 6
Source: RefSeq, a predicted model, not a curated record
CCCCCCCAGCAAGUUUGCUCCGAAGCCUCACAAACUUGGUUCUGGAAGAAUAUGCGCGCAAAGUAUUUCACGGGUUGGGGGCCGAUUUCCAAGGCGCAACUCCUUCCUAGCCCGGGUGCGCUGUCCAUGUAGUUUGCCAGCCCGCUACAACGGAGGUCUCCCAGCUCCACUCUCAGUAGGACUCUGACGGCCACCAGGGCUGCCUGCUCCGGGAUCAAAGGAAGGGCGGGGCCGUGUGAACGCUCGCGCCGACGCCGCCCGUGCUCUCCGGGUGUGGAAGGGCACCUCGGCGAGCAGCUUCCCCCGAGCAGAGGCCUGGGAGGGGAGUCUCGGCCAGCGUCGGUGUUUUGGGUCGCGGAGCGUCUGUAUUUACACAGGCAGCCAGGCUGCGCCUCGGCCGCCCGCUCUCUCCGCAGGAGGCACCCGGAGAACCCGCAGCGAGCUCCGGCUUGGAGACAGACCCCGCACCAGCCCCCGCGUUCACGGCCGGCGGAGACGGAGGGCGACGCUGGAGUCGCAACAGAUAUCUAAAAUCCUGUGCCAGAUUCUGCAGUUGUUCUGUGCAUGGACCUCCUGUUUGAGGCACUGGGAUCAGGAUACCUGGGAAACAGGUGUCUUCCUGAAUUGGGGCCUUAGGACUGUAUGAGACUUCCACAGAGAAAACUGUGCUUCUGUAGCCAUGUCGACUUCUCUGGAAAAGUGAAUGUAGUGUACGUCAUGAGAAUGUGACACACGGAAGAGCUGAGCAUGAAGGCAAUACUUAGAAGAAAGAGAACUCUACCCUGGGAAGCAGUGACUCCACAAAUGAUUUGAGGGCCGUGGUGGAUAAGCAGCUGAACGUGUGCUCUGAGUGCAAUGCUGUGGCCAAAAGACACAAGUUUGAAGGCACCAAUUCUAUUAUAAAGGGCUCUCAAGCACUUACUAUUAAACCCAACAAGUUACUGAAGAAACUCACUGUCUUUUCCAGUGGAAACUGGACCUAUAUACAGAUUCUGCUAAUUCUGAAAGACCACACCUCCCUCCAUGUAGCCUUGCCAUAGAAGAGGAGAAAAAAGUAGAAAAAGAAGGAUAAAGGAUCUAAUGUGGCUGGCCACAUCCGCCCAUUCUUUUGUCAGCCUUUUCCUUGUACAAUUACUUUGUGGUUUGUUGGUGGAAAAAAAAAUCUUGUAUUUCAAGUGUCUAAAUUUUUCUUUCUUGAAAAUUCCUCCAAUCUUUCAAAAUGAAAAUGAAUGCUUUAUUUACUGUGUCACAACCGGGCCCUCUCUCUGGAUGGACACCAGUCUCUUGUGAGUGGGCCUAACCAGUAGAUUUCAUGUGCUUUUAUGCCUCCUGGCUCUGGACAGAGUCUGAUCACUGGUCCUGGCUCAGGGGUGGGGGGUGGACUCAAGUGCACUCCUAGGGGCAAAUCCCAUAUCUAACACCUUUCUUGGUCAGCGGGACCUUGCAGUCUAGCUUUCAGCCCCCUGAAACUAGUACCUGAUCCAUCCUGAUCUCAGGUGUUUAGAUAUGUUCCUCCAGAAUCCACCUGGUCAUGGGAAUUCUGGUUUCUUGAUUAAUUCCUCCAGACAUACUGUGUCAAGAAAGCCAGGAACACAGGCUUAGCAUAGGAUGGGCUGGUAAGAUGACAGAGAAUCAGAAUUGAUGGCCCUAGAUUGCUCAGUGCCAGUUUCUGAGACGUAGCCAUAAGACAGGCCUCCCUCCCCCCCAACUACAAAAUGGAAACUCUAACCCCCAUGGAGGCUACAAUACAACAUGAGGGACACGCUCCAACAUGAAGAUUCCAAUACAAUGUGGAGACCUCUGAAAAAAAUGGCAUUCCCAAAACAAGAUGGAGUUUACUGCGUGACACAGAUGUAUUCCCAAUAAUUCUGACUGGUCAUCUAAAAUAUACAUUGGUCAGACCCAGAGAUGUCAGGAGUUUAAAGUUCUUCUAAUCAUGCUAGAGACAGUGUUGCCCGCAAGGUGCAUCAGGGUCAGUUCCAAUAACUUUGUAUUACACAAGAGAAGUUUCUCUAUUCAGUGUUUCACCACUUCAGCUUGACCAUGAAUGGGGUUUGACCCCUAGACCUUCGAUGCAGAAAGUACAAAUCUCCAUCUCUUGAGCCAAAGGACUAGGUCCUCUAGCUGCCAGCUGUUGCUUAAAAAAACCCAAUCCAAAAGGAUUUUUUUUCAAAAUUUUCAUGGAAAUUUUCCUCUUUUCCAUGGGAAAAAAAAUGAAAAAGGAAACUAAAUAAAAAUUUUCAUUUAAUUCCAAAGAAGAAUUUAUAUUUUGUUUGGAUUCCAGAAAAGAUUUCAAUUUUCAUAUUUUCCUUCCUUCCCUCGCCUCUUCUUGUUUUACCUGCCCCUCUUUUUCCAUGGGAGGUGGGGGGAAAUUUGUAAAGGGAGAGAAAGGGGAAAAAAUAAGAAU